UACGUAGGGUGCAAGCGUUGUCCGGAAUUAUUGGGCGUAAAGAGCUCGUAGGCGGUCUGUUGCGUCGGCUGUGAAACCCGGGGCUCAACUCCGGGCCUGCAGCCGAUACGGGCAGACUAGAGUUCGGCAGGGGAGACUGGAAUUCCUGAUGUAGCGGUGAAAUGCGUAGAUAUCGAGAGGAACACCUGCGGCGAAGGCGGGUUGCUGGGCUGACACUGACGCUGAGGCGCGAAAGCCAGGGAGGCGAACGGG
This 252-nucleotide ribosomal RNA is filed under the name uncultured bacterium. Its description in RNAcentral is "partial 16S ribosomal RNA". It matches the Rfam family "Bacterial small subunit ribosomal RNA", at positions 524 to 776 of the family's 1533-position model. The record is from RNAcentral.